Molecule: unclassified non-coding RNA, 254 nt
Filed under: soil metagenome
Description: partial contains small subunit ribosomal RNA, internal transcribed spacer 1, and 5.8S ribosomal RNA
Source: RNAcentral
UAGCCGUAGGUGAACCUGCGGAAGGAUCAUUAACCAGCCGUGAAGGUCGCCCCCAAAGGGCAACGACCUUUCACCCGGCCACCCUUGCUUACUUUAACCUGUUGCUUUGGUGGGCCCGCCGUAAGGCCGCCGGGGAACUUGAGCUCCCUGGCCCGUGCCCACCAAAGUCUUAACUGAACUCUGCAAGUUUUAUGUUGUCUGAGUGUGAAAGCACAAACCUUUUAAAACUUUCAACAACGGAUCUCUUGGUUCCG